Long non-coding RNA from Oncorhynchus gorbuscha (pink salmon), 292 nucleotides. RefSeq lists it as uncharacterized. The transcript has 3 exons. The record is from RefSeq and is a predicted model, not a curated record. Lineage: Eukaryota; Metazoa; Chordata; Actinopteri; Salmoniformes; Salmonidae.
GUCGCCAAUGCUUGCCGGGCGAACCAGGAGACCCAGGCCCAACUCUGCUCCUACUUCUAAUACCUACAGCAGCACCCACCAGUCUCCCCAGCAUGAGGACAUGGUUUGGCAGAGAAAGAGAAGGGGAGACUGAGCUGGCUGCUGUGGUGUCGUGAGGAGACUGCUUUCUGCUGCACCAGCUGCAUGAGACAUGCAGAGCUCUGAGCAUCUCUAACAGGCAGCACUCUGUGGAACCAUGGACUCUUCUACUUCUGAGUCCCAGUCCCAGGGCGACGGUGAGACAGCUCUGGUG